Long non-coding RNA from Tupaia belangeri chinensis (Chinese tree shrew), 296 nucleotides. RefSeq lists it as uncharacterized. Lineage: Eukaryota; Metazoa; Chordata; Mammalia; Scandentia; Tupaiidae. The transcript has 5 exons. The record is from RefSeq and is a predicted model, not a curated record.
AGGAGAUAAUGAUAUACUACAAUCUCUCUUCACUACUUUGCCUCACCAACAAUUAAAGAGAAGUUACUGAGAGGUUCUCAGUGGAUUAGGAACCACAUUGGAGACCACCAUCUGCUUUACUCGCAUUAGGACAAGAUUUUACCUGGGUCAGUAUGUCAUCAAGGAGUCAGAAAACAACGAGUAGUCUCCAGAUGCUGCAGUCCAGUGUGAAAUGGCACCACAUGUGCAUGCAUGAGAGAGGGAAGCACCAAAAGAAGUCUGAUCACAUUGUGAUCAACAUACAGCUGUCCAGCUCC